RNAcentral lists this small RNA (162 nucleotides) under Clostridiales bacterium PH28_bin88. Its description in RNAcentral is "c-di-AMP riboswitch aptamer (ydaO/yuaA leader)". It matches the Rfam family "c-di-AMP riboswitch aptamer (ydaO/yuaA leader)". From Rfam's summary of the family: This family represents a conserved RNA structure found upstream of the ydaO and yuaA genes in Bacillus subtilis and related genes in other bacteria. The ydaO/yuaA element is thought to act as a genetic "off" switch for the ydaO and yuaA genes in its native state. It is believed that the element may be triggered during osmotic shock leading to activation of ydaO, a predicted amino acid transporter gene, and members of the yuaA-yubG operon which code for KtrA and KtrB K+ transporters. RNAcentral also lists the same sequence under 1 other name. Lineage: Bacteria; Bacillati; Bacillota; Clostridia; Eubacteriales. The record is from Rfam by way of RNAcentral.
UCCAUCUGAUCGCUGAAUUCCCUUUACAGGGAAGCGGGGGACCUAAUCUUUUUGGGGCUAAUCUGGCGCAAAAUGCCGUGUCACGGCAGGGACCGCCAGACGGGUCAGACUUCUUCGAUCCGAGCCCGUCAACUAACCUCGUAAGCGUGGGAGAAGGGGGUG